UACGUAGGGACCAAGCGUUGUUCGGAUUUACUGGGCGUAAAGGGCGCGUAGGCGGCAAUUCAAGUCAUCUGUGAAAUCUCCGGGCUUAACCCGGAACGGUCAGAUGAUACUGCUUUGCUAGAGUGCAGAAGGGGCAAUCGGAAUUCUUGGUGUAGCGGUGAAAUGCGUAGAUAUCAAGAGGAACACCUGAGGUGAAGACGGGUUGCUGGGCUGACACUGACGCUGAGGCGCGAAAGCCAGGGGAGCAAACGGG
RNAcentral lists this ribosomal RNA (253 nucleotides) under uncultured bacterium. RNAcentral's name for it is "partial 16S ribosomal RNA". It matches the Rfam family "Bacterial small subunit ribosomal RNA", at positions 524 to 776 of the family's 1533-position model. The record is from RNAcentral.